RNAcentral lists this ribosomal RNA (330 nucleotides) under uncultured eukaryote. Its description in RNAcentral is "partial 18S ribosomal RNA". It matches the Rfam family "Eukaryotic small subunit ribosomal RNA", at positions 1470 to 1796 of the family's 1831-position model. The record is from RNAcentral.
CCCUUAGAUGUUCGGGGCCGCACGCGCGCUACACUGAAGGAAUCAGCACGUCUUUCUCCUUGUCCGAAAGGACUGGGUAACCCGCUGAACCUCCUUCGUGCUGGGGAUUGGGGCUUGUAAUUCUUCCCCAUGAACGAGGAAUUCCCAGUAAGCGCGAGUCAUAAGCUCGCGUUGAUUACGUCCCUGCCCUUUGUACACACCGCCCGUCGCUACUACCGAUUGGAUGGUUUAGUGAGAUCCUCGGAUUGGUCCCGGAGCGGCCUCUGGUCGUGCCGGAGUGCCGAAAAGAAUGUCGAACUUGAUCAUCUAGAGGAAGUAAAAGUCGUAACA